GUGAGCAGGAGGAGGAGAGGCUGAGCUGGACAUGCAGGGCAGUCCAUGUUGGCUGCAAAGCAUGGUGAUGGUGGCCCCUGCCCCAAGGGCCUCUCACUGAGGCCAGCAGCUCAGCUGCUGCAGGUCCGAGUGGACCCUGUGGCACAUGGGGCCCUCCCCGCACUGCGGCAGACGGUGCUACAGCUAUGAUGAUGAGACUGGGGCUGCAGGAGCAGCCGAUUCCCAGUCUUCCCCUGCAGGAAAGACCGGGAGGCUGUCCCCGUGGUCUCACCGGCCCUGUGCAUGGUGACCUGGGCCUCCAGGGGAGUGGCCGGGUGCCCUGUUGGAUGUCCUGUAGCGAAUUUGUCUCUGGGAGAAGAGCAGAGAGAUGAAGGCCUCCAUGCCACAGCCCAGGCCGUGCACAUUUGUGUUGACCUUGGCCACAGGCCGACGGCGCGUCUGCGAGGUCUCUGCAUUGCAAGGCCCUUCUCCUCCUGAACUGAAGGCCUUCUUCCUCCUUUCCCCUCCUGAUUCUCUCGCCCUCCUGGUGCAUCCAGGUGCCC
Molecule: long non-coding RNA, 542 nt
Filed under: Homo sapiens (human)
Lineage: Eukaryota; Metazoa; Chordata; Mammalia; Primates; Hominidae
Description: non-protein coding lnc-YTHDF1-2:1
Source: RNAcentral